AGGCUAAGGAAAGCAUUGCGCAUGCGGGAAACCCACGCUGAGGGAAGAAUCAUGGGAAAGAGUAGAGACGGGGUUCCACCGUGUUAGCCAGGAUGGUCUCGAUCUCCUGACCUCGUCAUCCUCCCGCCUUGGCCUCCCAAAGUGCUGGGAUUACAGGCUUGAGCCACCGCGCCCCGCUCUUUCGUGUUCCAAAGGCUUUUUAAAUAAACUUCCACUCCUGUCCUGGAUUCUGCUUUAUGGCCCUCAGUCGAAUUCUUUCUUCUGAGGAGGCAAGGACUGAAGUUGCUUCUGACCAGUACAGAUUGGGAAGGAGAAAGUCACUUGACUCACAGGCCAACUGCUAUGGACUGAAUUGUGUCUUCCCCUCAUUAAUAUGUUGAAACCCUAUCCUCCCUCCAAUGUGAUGGUAUUUGCAGAUGGGGCUUUUGGGAAGUAAUGAAGUUUAGAUGAGGCAUGAGGGCUGGAUGGAUAUGAUCAGAUGAGUGCCCAAAGAAGAGACACCAGAGAGCUAGCUUCUUCUUUCUCUUUCCACCUUUACACACUGAGAAAAGGCCAAGUGAGCACACACCAAGAAGGCAGCCAUCUGCAAACCCAAGGAGAGAGUCCUCACUAGACACCCUGCUGGUACCUUGAUCUUGGACUUCUAGCCUCCAGAACUGUGAGAAAUAAAUUCCUGUUGUUCAAGCUAGUAUUAAUACCUGGUGUUUUGUUAUGGCAGCCUAAGUGACUAAGACACCAACUUAAUUUACUUAGCCAGGGUCAAUCAGUGGUAGGGCCCAGGAUUCUGACCCAGUUCUGCCUAACUCCACAAUUCAUGCUUUUUCUGGAUAUAAACAUCUGCCUUCCCAGUUUCCCUGACUCUUAGAGCCGUGGAGCAGUGUGUGUCAUGUGCUGCACACCCAGGCUGGAACAGCCUGUCUCCAGGAGAAAACGAAUACAGCAGGGAUGACUUCCACCAGCUCCACUUUGCAGCUCUGAGGUGUAUUAAAAAUGACCUGGAAGAAGUCAUGCCACGGGCCAGACCUUAACAUUCCUUUCGGCUUACCCCAGGAUUUCAGACGAAGCUUCACUUUCCUAACCAGUCACAAAUCAGAGAAUUUUUGAUUCCACCUAUGACCUGUGAGCUCCUGCUUCAAGAUAUUCCACCUUUUUUAGGCCAAACCAAUGUAUAACCUCCAAGUGUCGAUUUACACUUUCGACUGUAACUUCUGCUUUCCUGAGAUUUACCCCUGCCUUUAAAAACCCUUGCUUGUAAUCCCUCAGGGAGGCCGUGUAUUUAUUAAUCAUGAGCUGCCCAAUUCUCCUUGCUUGGUGCCCUGCAAAUAAACACCCUCUUUUCUCCCACUGCAAAA
This 1352-nucleotide small RNA is filed under the name Homo sapiens (human). RNAcentral describes it as "PPP1R3B divergent transcript (ENSG00000285236.3)". The record is from RNAcentral. Lineage: Eukaryota; Metazoa; Chordata; Mammalia; Primates; Hominidae.